This 500-nucleotide ribosomal RNA is filed under the name uncultured bacterium. Its description in RNAcentral is "partial 16S ribosomal RNA". It matches the Rfam family "Bacterial small subunit ribosomal RNA", at positions 30 to 523 of the family's 1533-position model. The record is from RNAcentral.
AUUGAACGCUGGCGGAAUGCUUUACACAUGCAAGUCGAACGGCAGCACGGACUUCGGUCUGGUGGCGAGUGGCGAACGGGUGAGUAAUGUAUCGGAACGUGCCCAGUCGUGGGGGAUAACGUAGUGAAAAUUACGCUAAUACCGCAUACGAUCUAUGGAUGAAAGCGGGGGAUCGCAAGACCUCGCGCGAUUGGAGCGGCCGAUAUCAGAUUAGGUAGUUGGUGGGGUAAAGGCCCACCAAGCCAACGAUCUGUAGCUGGUCUGAGAGGACGACCGGCCACACUGGAACCGAAACACGGUCCAGACUCCUACGAGCGGCAGCAGUGGGGAAUUAUGGACAAUGGGCGAAAGCCUGUUCCAGCCAUUCCGCGUGCAGGAUGAAGGCCCUCGGGUUGUAAACUGCUUUUGUACAGAACGAAAAUGUUUCUACUAAUACUAGGAGCUCAUGACGGUACUGUAAGAAUAAGCACCGGCUAACUACGUGCCAGCCGCCGCAGUAA